This 208-nucleotide long non-coding RNA is filed under the name Carica papaya (papaya). RNAcentral describes it as "long non-coding RNA (CPAP_LNC010148)". The record is from RNAcentral. Lineage: Eukaryota; Viridiplantae; Streptophyta; Magnoliopsida; Brassicales; Caricaceae.
UGAAUGGGAACAAAUACGAAAUUGCCAUAACAGUAAUUCACCAAAGUGGCCACUAGUUGAUACAGAUGCCCUUACCUUACUUUGGUUGGAUUACUGAUAACAAUAUAAAACCAAUCACAGGAUAGGGUUCAUUGACAGAUUAUGACACAAUCCCUCUAUGAUAAAAGGUUAAAUGAUUUUCUGACAGAUAGCUUUGUUGUAGAAGUUU